RNAcentral lists this long non-coding RNA (509 nucleotides) under Helianthus annuus (common sunflower). Its description in RNAcentral is "hypothetical non coding rna". The record is from RNAcentral. Lineage: Eukaryota; Viridiplantae; Streptophyta; Magnoliopsida; Asterales; Asteraceae.
AUGUUAUUUCAGUUUUGUUUAAAAAUCAGGUUUCGAUGUUACUGGCGCCGCUAAAUACGACCUUGAUUUCAUCUCUCGCCACCGUAUUUGUCUAUAAAACUCCGUCGCCAAAGCAUGGCAGUGGCUCCCCUUUCUUCUCUCGUUGCUAGAAUCGUUAAACCACCACUGAACCGAGAAACUAUUUUUGUCAUCGGAAACGCGUCUGAGAUCAGGGCGCAUGUUUUGGAAGGGAAUAAAAGUGAUAUUUACGAAAUUUGAAGGGCUACUUUUUUCCUACCGAUCCCAGUCCUCCAUGGUGGUUGUCGUCUUGGUUGUAUGAUCGGAGGUCUGACUCUAGAGAGAGAAAAGAGACAACUGUAUGUUGUGAAGACGAUCAAUUCAAGACAGUGAAAACAGAUUACUAAACACUCAUUUGCCAGCAGGGUAUUUUUGUAAUUAUGUCGGUGCACUGUUGCACCGACCUUUGUUUUUAAGAUAUAUAUAAUAUAUAGGAGAAGGAUCCGUUAGGA